This 382-nucleotide ribosomal RNA is filed under the name Andinobates virolinensis (Santander poison frog). RNAcentral's name for it is "partial 16S ribosomal RNA". It matches the Rfam family "Bacterial large subunit ribosomal RNA", at positions 1961 to 2491 of the family's 2925-position model. Lineage: Eukaryota; Metazoa; Chordata; Amphibia; Anura; Dendrobatidae. The record is from RNAcentral.
GUAAUCACUUGUUCUUUAAUUGAGGACUAGUAUGAAUGGCCCCACGAGGACUACACUGUCUCCUUUCUCUAAUCAAUGAAACUGAUCUCCCCGUGAAGAAGCGGGGAUAAACCUAUAAGACGAGAAGACCCUAUGGAGCUUUAAACAACAGAAAUACUUGCUUCUUUCCUACCAUUUUCUGAAAACUAAAUUAAUUCAAGCAUUUUAUCUCCCAGUUUUAGGUUGGGGUGACCACGGAGAAAAAAUAAACCUCCAUGUUGAAAGAAGCCUUCCACCUUCUAAGCAAAAAGACACAACUUUAUGCAUCAACACAUUGACUCCCAUUGACCCAAUAAUUUGAUCAACGAACCAAGUUACCCUAGGGAUAACAGCGCAAUCUACU